UGGUCCCUUCGUUUCCCCUGCCACACUUGUAACCCAACAAUCCCUUGUGCGUCCCUUCGUUCCUCCCUCUCAUAGUUUCCCUGCCUUUUAAAAAAGCUAUCUGUCUCUCAAACCAUAAACUUCUAUUCAAGAUCCUACUCUCUUCAGAAAAACCCCAGCUGGCCAGCUCCCAACAUCACAGCCACCAUCUUCGCCACCACCAUUCCCGGUAUGCACAUUAAUCUGGCACCACCAGACACCAUUAAAACCACCGUCUGCUGCUGCCGUGAACACCUAUGACCAACCUCAACUACCGUCUUUCUCUCAACCACUUGCUUUUAUGUAUCUCUGUUAGACCCUAAAUUUACAAAUCGCCGCUGCCACCGUUGCGUUCACUACCAUUGUUUGCACCUUCUUUAUAAAAGAAACAAUAAAUCCCUCCGGAGCUCUCUGACAAACCACCGCCGUCCCGACGCCUCUCCCAGUUCAUCAUACGAUCGCCCCCUACAUUUGUCUCUCUCUAAACAGCUGCCACUGAUCUGUCUCACCGUCGAUUCCUUGCCUCUUCACUGCCAUAUGCUGGAAGGGAAAUGAGAUUGAACAACGAUUUGGGUUUUUUUCUUGCUUUGUGUCUGUGAUUUGUAGUUAUUAUUAAUAAAUCAAUAAUUUUAACAGUUCUUUCUUUCUAAACCGUAGACGUGAUUAUCUUUCUUAACAUUGUGUUGAUAGCAAUUUUGUAUGAGAGGUAGGGCUGCUAUAUAUGUAUGAACUAGUUUGUGUUAGAUAUGUCAAACUUAAUCCUUUGGAAGAUUAUUCUGCUACAAUCCAAUGUAUUUGGUUUGAUAGGCACUCCAAGAUAUGUCGAGGGUGUUAUAUAAUUGGCGAAUUCAUUUGAUCCAUGCAUUGAUUAUAGAAUGAGAAUAAACUAUUCCCUUUAGUCUUUUAAGUAAAAAAGUUUUAAUUAACCAGAGUUUUAAGCAAAGACAGAUGUCAAAAUAUUUAAUAGUGGAGCAUGUUAGUUGCUAUGAUUUCAUUUCAAGAGAUUACAAAGCAGAAUCGAGUAGCCAUUUCAAUCUCUAUUGUGCGUGUCUUUGUGUUGUAUGGUUUUUUCUUUGCUUGUGAAAUAUUGUAGUUGGUUAAUAUUUGGUGGCUUAGUUUGACUUUGAUGCAUUAAUAUUUUUUAAUAUCCACUAGUUAAAACUGUGCGUAUCAAGGUUACUCCAUUUAAUUGUUAAGCUUUACGUUUUUCUUGUAGCUUUUGUAAUGGGAUUGUAUACGUGUUUUGAAGCCUCGUAUCAUCUGCUUACUUUUAUUUGUGUUUUUUUUUUAUGUUUUUAGGGCCCUGUUUACCCUUGUAGAUAACUGAGUGUAUCACAACAAGAUUUGUUUAUUCUUUGUUUUUGGCUUGCAGCAAUUGAUCAAAGGGAUGAUGUUAGUAAUUGAUUUUUCUAGCCUGCAACCACGGUCAAAUCUGUUAAAAACAUAGGAAAGGAAAGAAGGUUAGUUCUAUGCAGUGGAAGGACAUUUAUAGUCCAUGAACUUUAAGAAGCUCGAUUGAUUGUAUCAUUGCCAUAUCACUAUUUUAUUUUUUACUCAAUUUUAAUCUUUAUCAUCCACACUCCAUUAAACCCUAAAGAGUCUAAUAACACUCCACAUCAUCAUCAUUAUAUUUUUACAUAAUUAUAAAUUUAAAAAUAAAAUAUAUAAUAGUUAAAAAAGAGUACAUUCUUUAAAAAUAUAUUAGUUAAAAAUCAUGAAACCUAAAACAUUUAAUACAUAAAAAUACAUUAAUUAAAAAACAUAAAACCUAA
RNAcentral lists this long non-coding RNA (1790 nucleotides) under Lactuca sativa (garden lettuce). RNAcentral describes it as "long non-coding RNA (LSAT_LNC003352)". Lineage: Eukaryota; Viridiplantae; Streptophyta; Magnoliopsida; Asterales; Asteraceae. The record is from RNAcentral.